RNAcentral lists this ribosomal RNA (449 nucleotides) under uncultured bacterium. RNAcentral's name for it is "partial 16S ribosomal RNA". It matches the Rfam family "Bacterial small subunit ribosomal RNA", at positions 30 to 523 of the family's 1533-position model. The record is from RNAcentral.
AUUGAACGCUGGCGGCAGGCUUAACACAUGCAAGUCGAAUGAGAUCUUCGGAUCUAGUGGCAGACGGGUGAGGAACACGUGGGAACAUCCCUUUCAGUUCGGAAUAACGUUGGGAAACUAACGCUAAUACCGGAUACGUCCUUCGGGAGAAAGAUUUAUCGCUGAAAGAUUGGCCCGCGUCUGAUUAGCUAGUUGGUGAGGUAAUGGCUCACCAAGGCUACGAUCAGUAGCUGAUCUGAGAGGAUGAUCAGCCACAUUGGGACUGAGACACGGCCCAAACUCCUACGGGAGGCAGCAGUGGGGAAUAUUGGACAAUGGGCGCAAGCCUGAUCCAGCCAUGCCGCGUGAGUGAUGAAGGCCUUCGGGUUGUAAAGCUCUUUUAUCCGGGAAGAUAAUGACUGUACCGGAAGAAUAAGCCCCGGCAAACUUCGUGCCAGCAGCCGCAGUAA